Pelobates cultripes (western spadefoot toad) is the source of this 419-nucleotide non-coding RNA. Lineage: Eukaryota; Metazoa; Chordata; Amphibia; Anura; Pelobatidae. The record is from the annotation of a GenBank genome assembly.
UGUUGUCGUAAUAGUAAUCUUGCUCAGUACGAGAGGAACAGCAGGUUCAGACAUUUGGUGUAUGUGCUUGGCUGAGAAGCCAAUGAGGCAAAGCUACCAUCUGCGGGAUUAUGACUGAACACCUCUAAGUCAGAAUCUCCCCUAAAAGUGACAAUAUCGCAGCGCCGAGGAGCCUCGAUAUGCCGAUGAUAGCCGGCACCCCCUUCACCGGGGGAGCCGGUGGGCAGAGCCACUCACUUAGAGACUGGAAGGCAGACGGAAUGAGGACGUGCCAUCUCUCUCCAAGUGCACCACAUGUUCGCGGGGAACCCGGUGCUAAAUCAUUUGUAGACGAUGGGGUUCUGGGUCAAGGUUUCGUGAGUAGCAGAGCAGCUACCUCACUGUGCUCUAUUGAAAGUCAUGCUGUGAGCCAAGGAAAA